GAUGAACGCUGGCGGCGUGCCUAAUACAUGCAAGUAGAACGCUGAAGGAGGAGCUUGCUCUUCUGGAUGAGUUGCGAACGGGUGAGUAACGCGUAGGUAACCUGUCUGGUAGCGGGGGAUAACUAUUGGAAACGAUAGCUAAUACCGCAUGACAACAGUUAUUGCAUGAUAACUGUUUAAAAGGGGCAACUGCUCCACUACCAGAUGGACCUGCGUUGUAUUAGCUAGUUGGUGAGGUAACGGCUCACCAAGGCGACGAUACAUAGCCGACCUGAGAGGGUGAUCGGCCACACUGGGACGGAGACACGGCCCAGACUCCUACGGGAGGCAGCAGUAGGGAAUCUGCGGCAAUGGACGGAAGUCUGACCGAGCAACGCCGCGUGAGUGAAGAAGGUUUUCGGAUCGGAAAGCUCUGUUGUAAGAGAAGAACGAGUGUGAGAGUGGAAAGUUCACACUGUGACGGUAUCUUACCAGAAAGGGACGGCUAACUACGUG
Molecule: ribosomal RNA, 495 nt
Filed under: uncultured bacterium
Lineage: Bacteria
Description: partial 16S ribosomal RNA
Rfam family: Bacterial small subunit ribosomal RNA
Source: RNAcentral